GGGACCCGCGCAGUCCGGUCCCGCGGUGUCUCCGCCUGUUGAUGCCGCGCGGCCCGCGGGCUCGGAUGCUCGGCGCUCUG
Bison bison bison is the source of this 80-nucleotide microRNA precursor. The record is from Ensembl. NCBI's taxonomy places the organism in Eukaryota, Metazoa, Chordata, Mammalia, Artiodactyla, Bovidae.